UGCCGUCGGAGCCGGAUGCCUUCCUAGG
This 28-nucleotide small RNA is filed under the name Bombyx mori (domestic silkworm). RNAcentral's name for it is "ovarian small RNA-33809". The record is from RNAcentral. Lineage: Eukaryota; Metazoa; Arthropoda; Insecta; Lepidoptera; Bombycidae.